GGUUGUUUUGCAAGCUCACAACCAAACUUGUUGUUUUACGAGCUCACAACGAACUCGGUCGGUUUUCCCAGGCUCACCGACUAGAACCAACCCCGAUUGUUUUCCCGGGCUCACAAUCAAACCCUUACACGCGUUGGUUUUUAACUUGGCUCACCAACCAACCUUAGUCCCCUUGAUUCAAUCCUCCGAUUGAACCAAGUAAAUACAAGUUAUA
RNAcentral lists this long non-coding RNA (214 nucleotides) under Phoenix dactylifera (date palm). RNAcentral describes it as "long non-coding RNA (PDAC_LNC022247)". Lineage: Eukaryota; Viridiplantae; Streptophyta; Magnoliopsida; Arecales; Arecaceae. The record is from RNAcentral.